CGUGUAGGCGGCUGGAUAAGUCAGAUGUGAAAUCCCUGGGCUUAACCCAGGAAGUGCAUUUGAAACUGUUCAGCUUGAGUAAGGGAGAGGAAAGUGGAAUUCCUGGUGUAGAGGUGAAAUUCGUAGAUAUCAGGAGGAACACCGGUGGCGAAGGCGACUUUCUGGCCCUAUACUGACGCUGAGACGCGAGAGCGUGGGUAGCAAACA
Molecule: ribosomal RNA, 207 nt
Filed under: uncultured Syntrophaceae bacterium
Lineage: Bacteria; Pseudomonadati; Thermodesulfobacteriota; Syntrophia; Syntrophales; Syntrophaceae
Description: partial 16S ribosomal RNA
Rfam family: Bacterial small subunit ribosomal RNA
Source: RNAcentral